This 65-nucleotide transfer RNA is filed under the name Spirobranchus giganteus. RNAcentral describes it as "tRNA-Tyr". It matches the Rfam family "tRNA". Rfam says of the family: Transfer RNA (tRNA) molecules are approximately 80 nucleotides in length. The record is from RNAcentral. Lineage: Eukaryota; Metazoa; Annelida; Polychaeta; Sabellida; Serpulidae.
GGGGGGAUGGCUGAGGAGUAAGCGGCAAGCUGUAAACUUGUUUACGGGAGAUUUCUCUCCCCUCA